AAAAUCCGUCGACUUUAUAAAUCGUGAGGGUUCAAGUCCCUCUUCNNGUGGUUCAAGUCCCUCUAUCCCCA
Molecule: transfer RNA, 71 nt
Filed under: Rafnia alata
Lineage: Eukaryota; Viridiplantae; Streptophyta; Magnoliopsida; Fabales; Fabaceae
Description: partial transfer RNA-Leu (UAA)
Source: RNAcentral